GUGGGGAAUUGUUCACAAUGGGCGCAAGCCUGAUGACGCAACGCCGCGUGGGGGAUGAAGGUCUUCGGAUCGUAAACCCCUGUCGAAUGGGACGAAUAACCUUCGGGUUAAUACCCCGGAGGAAUGACGGUACCGUUAAAGGAAGCCACGGCUAACUCUGUGCCAGCAGCCGCGGUAAUACAGAGGUGGCAAGCGUUGUUCGGAAUUACUGGGCGUAAAGGGCGCGUAGGCGGCCUUCUAAGUCAGACGUGAAAUCCCCCGGCUCAACCUGGGAACUGCGUCUGAUACUGGAGGGCUUGAGUUUGGGAGAGGGAUGUAGAAUUCCAGGUGUAGCGGUGAAAUGCGUAGAUAUCUGGAGGAAUACCGGUGGCGAAGGCGGCAUCCUGGACCAAUACUGACGCUGAGGCGCGAAAGCUAGGGGAGCAAACGGGAUUAGAUACCCCGGUAGUCC
RNAcentral lists this ribosomal RNA (451 nucleotides) under uncultured bacterium. RNAcentral's name for it is "bacterial SSU rRNA". It matches the Rfam family "Bacterial small subunit ribosomal RNA", at positions 354 to 796 of the family's 1533-position model. The record is from RNAcentral.